UUAGCUUGCUUUUGAGAUCAGCGGCGGACGGGUGAGUAACACGUGGGCAACCUGCCUGUAAGACUGGGAUAACUUCGGGAAACCGGAGCUAAUACCGGAUAAUCCUUUCCCUCACAUGAGGGAAAGCUGAAAGACGGUUUCGGCUGUCACUUACAGAUGGGCCCGCGGCGCAUUAGCUAGUUGGUGAGGUAACGGCUCACCAAGGCAACGAUGCGUAGCCGACCUGAGAGGGUGAUCGGCCACACUGGGACUGAGACACGGCCCAGACUCCUACGGGAGGCAGCAGUAGGGAAUCUUCCGCAAUGGACGAAAGUCUGACGGAGCAACGCCGCGUGAGCGAUGAAGGCCUUCGGGUCGUAAAGCUCUGUUGUCAGGGAAGAACAAGUACCGGAGUAACUGCCGGUACCUUGACGGUACCUGACCAGAAAGCCACGGCUAACUACGUGCCAGCAGCCGCGGUAAUACGUAGGUGGCAAGCGUUGUCCGGAAUUAUUGGGCGUAAAGCGCGCGCAGGCGGUUCCUUAAGUCUGAUGUGAAAGCCCCCGGCUCAACCGGGGAGG
This 560-nucleotide ribosomal RNA is filed under the name Mesobacillus subterraneus. Its description in RNAcentral is "bacterial SSU rRNA". It matches the Rfam family "Bacterial small subunit ribosomal RNA", at positions 75 to 621 of the family's 1533-position model. The record is from RNAcentral. Lineage: Bacteria; Bacillati; Bacillota; Bacilli; Caryophanales; Bacillaceae.